Molecule: ribosomal RNA, 510 nt
Filed under: uncultured bacterium
Lineage: Bacteria
Description: bacterial SSU rRNA
Rfam family: Bacterial small subunit ribosomal RNA
Source: RNAcentral
UGGCGGCGUAGCCUAAGUACAUGCAAGUCGAACGGUCUUUCUAUGGAAGCUUGCUUCCACUGAGAAGAUAGUGGCGAACGGGUGAGUAACACGUGGGUAACCUGCCCAUAAGAGGGGGAUAACAUCCGGAAACGGGUGCUAAUACCGCAUAGUUUUCUUGAUCGCAUGAUUGAGAAAGGAAGACGGCCUUUGUGCUGUCGCUUAUGGAUGGACCCGCGGCGUAUUAGUUAGUUGGUGAGGUAAUGGCUCACCAAGACGAUGAUACGUAGCCGACCUGAGAGGGUGAUCGGCCACAUUGGGACUGAGACACGGCCCAAACUCCUACGGGAGGCAGCAGUAGGGAAUCUUCCGCAAUGGACGAAAGUCUGACGGAGCAACGCCGCGUGAGUGAAGAAAAGGUUUUCGGAUCGUAAAACUCUGUUGUCAGAGAAGAACAAGUUGGAGAGUAACUGCUCCAGCCUUGACGGUAUCUGACCAGAAAGCCACGGCUAACUACGUGCCAGCAGCCGC